AUGAAUAAUAUUACCACCAUGGUAACUUGUUCUAUAAAGAAUGGUAACUCGCGCAGUGCCACGGUAGAGCCAUGGCGCGCAGGAAGCAAGGUCCACGGUUCAUGCCUCCAUGUCCAUGUGCAAGCUUCUUUACCGCCAUCACAUGCUGCUGUCCAGCGCUACCCCGUCCUCGUGCGAGGUCCCCUCGGUGGUGAGGCCGUAGCCGAGCGGGAAGAGCGGGUCGUAGUGCGCGUCGCCCACGUUCAUCGGCAGCUGGUCCACCGACUUGAACCACGUCCGCGCCAGCCUCCCGGUGAACCCGUAGUCGCCGAACAGCGCGUCGGUGACGCCCUGCCCCUCCGAGCCGGGGAGCCACGCCGCCACCAGCGCGUCCGCGGCGGCCAGGAGCGGCUGCGCCACCACGGGCCGCCCGCUGAUGAGCACCGUCGCGCACCGCACCGCGCCGCACACCGCCUGCACGGUGCUCAGCCCGGGCUCCGGGAUGGUCAGGUUCAGGUUGUCGCCGGCUGUCUCCGUGUACGGGUGCUCGCCCACCGCCACGAUCGCGUAGGAGAAGUUGCCCUUCUUGACGAACUCCGCGUCCGGGUUCUCCGCGAACACCACGGUGGUCGACGGGUCCACGGCCGCCCUCACGGCGUCGAGGAUGGUCGUGCCCACGGUGAUGCGCCCGCUGUCGCCCUGCCACUCGAUCGUCCAGCCGCCGCACUGGUAGCCCAGGUUGUCGGCGUGGCUGCCGGCGACGAGGAUCUUGGGCGCCUUCUUGGACAACGGCAGCAUUGGCCCGUCGCUCGUGUCGCCAUUCUUCAGGAGCACCAGCGACUUCCUCACCGCCUCCCUCGCCAAAUCUCUGUGCUCCUGCAUACCAUAAAUUCAGAAUUUCUGAAUCCGGUAGCAAAUCAUAAAUGA
This 906-nucleotide ribosomal RNA is filed under the name Triticum aestivum (bread wheat). Its description in RNAcentral is "partial small subunit ribosomal RNA". The record is from RNAcentral. Lineage: Eukaryota; Viridiplantae; Streptophyta; Magnoliopsida; Poales; Poaceae.